AAUAACUCAAACUAAAUUAGUGGCAGUUUUGUAAUUAUUCAAAACUAUUUGGGAACGCCUUGAGUAAGGAAGACAAGAAUUAGGUCAGAAUUGUAUAUAAUUUAAAAGGGAAGGACCAAUCUGGUACUUAAGCUGGCAUAAGAUCCAAGAAUCUUGGAGCAAGCCUCCUAUAUCCCUAAACAAGAUUUUAUAAUUCUACUUCACAAACCUUAAUAGCAAGAUUCUAGGAAGCCAUCAGGAUUAAAAAAUUGAAGAAACAAGAGCUCAGCCAAAUAUACUUGUGCAGAGCUGAAGGCGUAUGCACCAUAGGAAGAAGGCCCACAACUAGC
Long non-coding RNA from Telopea speciosissima, 329 nucleotides. RefSeq lists it as uncharacterized. The transcript is spliced from 3 exons. The record is from RefSeq and is a predicted model, not a curated record. Lineage: Eukaryota; Viridiplantae; Streptophyta; Magnoliopsida; Proteales; Proteaceae.